This 253-nucleotide ribosomal RNA is filed under the name uncultured bacterium. Its description in RNAcentral is "partial 16S ribosomal RNA". It matches the Rfam family "Bacterial small subunit ribosomal RNA", at positions 524 to 776 of the family's 1533-position model. The record is from RNAcentral.
UACGUAGGGUGCAAGCGUUAAUCGGAAUUACUGGGCGUAAAGCGUGCGCAGGCGGUUAUGUAAGACAGAUGUGAAAUGCCCGGGCUUAACCUGGGAACUGCAUUUGUGACUGCAUGGCUAGAGUUUGGCAGAGGGGGGUAGAAUUCCACGUGUAGCAGUGAAAUGCGUAGAUAUGUGGAGGAACACCGAUGGCGGAGGCAGCCCCCUGGGUCAAGACUGACGCUCAUGCACGAAAGCGUGGGGAGCAAACAGG